RNAcentral lists this ribosomal RNA (253 nucleotides) under uncultured bacterium. RNAcentral's name for it is "partial 16S ribosomal RNA". It matches the Rfam family "Bacterial small subunit ribosomal RNA", at positions 524 to 776 of the family's 1533-position model. The record is from RNAcentral.
UACGUAGGGUGCGAGCGUUGUCCGGAAUUAUUGGGCGUAAAGAGCUCGUAGGCGGCCUGUCGCGUCGGAUGUGAAAGCCCGGGGCUCAACCCCGGGUCUGCAUUCGAUACGGGCAGGCUAGAGUGUGGUAGGGGAGAUCGGAAUUCCUGGUGUAGCGGUGAAAUGCGCAGAUAUCAGGAGGAACACCGAUGGCGAAGGCAGUUCUCUGGGCCGUAACUGACGCUGAGGAGCGAAAGCGUGGGGAGCGAACAGG